CUGGCGGCGUGCUUAACACAUGCAAGUCGAACGAUGAAGCCUAGCUUGCUAGGUGGAUUAGUGGCGAACGGGUGAGUAAUACGUGAGUUGACCUACCUUUGACUCUGGGAUAAGCCUGGGAAACUGGGUCUAAUACCGGAUACGACCAAUCUCCGCAUGGGGUGUUGGUGGAAAGCGUUAUGGAGUGGUUUUAGAUGGGCUCACGGCCUAUCAGCUUGUUGGUGAGGUAAUGGCUUACCAAGGCGACGACGGGUAGCCGGCCUGAGAGGGUGACCGGCCACACUGGGACUGAGACACGGCCCAGACUCCUACGGGAGGCAGCAGUGGGGAAUAUUGCACAAUGGGCGCAAGCCUGAUGCAGCGACGCCGCGUGAGGGAUGACGGCCUUCGGGUUGUAAACCUCUGUUAGCAUCGAAGAAGCGAAAGUGACGGUAGGUGCAGAGAAAGCGCCGGCUAACUACGUGCCAGCAGCCGCGGUAAUACGUAGGGCGCGAGCGUUGUCCGGAAUUAUUGGGCGUAAAGAGCUUGUAGGCGGUUGGUCGCGUCUGCUGUGAAAGGCUGGGGCUUAACCCUGGUUUUGCAGUGGGUACGGGCUAACUAGAGUGCAGUAGGGGAGACUGGAAUUCCUGGUGUAGCGGUGGAAUGCGCAGAUAUCAGGAGGAACACCGAUGGCGAAGGCAGGUCUCUGGGCUGUAACUGACGCUGAGAAGCGAAAGCAUGGGGAGCGAACAGGAUUAGAUACCCUGGUAGUCCAUGCCGUAAACGUUGGGCACUAGGUGUGGGGGACAUUCCACGUUUUCCGCGCCGUAGCUAACGCAUUAAGUGCCCCGCCUGGGGAGUACGGCCGCAAGGCUAAAACUCAAAGAAAUUGACGGGGGCCCGCACAAGCGGCGGAGCAUGCGGAUUAAUUCGAUGCAACGCGAAGAACCUUACCAAGGCUUGACAUAUACUGGACUGCGUCAGAGAUGGCGUUUCCCUUCGGGGCUGGUAUACAGGUGGUGCAUGGUUGUCGUCAGCUCGUGUCGUGAGAUGUUGGGUUAAGUCCCGCAACGAGCGCAACCCUCGUUCUAUGUUGCCAGCACGUGAUGGUGGGGACUCAUAGGAGACUGCCGGGGUUAACUCGGAGGAAGGUGGGGAUGACGUCAAAUCAUCAUGCCCCUUAUGUCUUGGGCUUCACGCAUGCUACGAAUGGCCGGUACAGAGGGUUGCGAUACUGUGAGGUGGAGCUAAUCCCUAAAAGCCGGUCUCAGUUUCGGAUUGGGGUACUGCGAACUCGACCCCGUGAAGUCGGAGUCGCUAGUAAUCGCAGAUCAGCAAACGCUGCGGUGAAAUACGUUUCCCGGGCCUUGCACACACCGCCCGUCA
RNAcentral lists this ribosomal RNA (1365 nucleotides) under uncultured bacterium. RNAcentral describes it as "16S ribosomal RNA". It matches the Rfam family "Bacterial small subunit ribosomal RNA", at positions 36 to 1399 of the family's 1533-position model. The record is from RNAcentral.